GUUGUUAUUAAACUUUCUCAGUAUUCCAUUAAAACAGUCAACACUUUUAUCCAAAGCGACUUACGAUAAGUGCAUUCAACUAUAAGGUUACGAACACAGAACAGCGUGAAUCAUGUGUGUAAAUGUACUAAACACCACAAAAAAUAAACCUGGCCUCAGUCAAAUACUUAUCCCAUAUGAAUUAACCGCUGCUCACGUCACCCGCUCGCGUCAUCAGCUGAUGGACUCGUCCAAUCAGAGCCUCGUAAACGCCGUGCAGCAGCGUCGAGUGUCCCGCAGACAGGAAGCGGGUCGUGUUUAGCUUGUCCCGUACGAGUGACUCUGUCUUCGGGGUAAAUAACUUGCUGAAGUCGACACGACGCUGUUCCCUGGAGGAGAAGAUGAGUGCGUGUGGAGGCAGAGCCGCGGGCCCGGUGUGGACGAGUCGAGGCGGAGAAGACGGGCGCACAGUCCCUGAGUUACGCCUCAGCCCCCCCCCACACACACACACACACACGCACACACACACACAAACAAAGAGGCGUUAGGCUGAGACGCUGAAAGUCCGGAUUUAAAGUGCAGAAAAUGAAGCCAUUGAAUCUGCCUGUCCAUGACGUACAAAGACACACUAUGAGCCAGUAUGAUCCGACCAGACCUUACAUCAGCAUUGAGGAGUUGUCGGAGAAGAAAGAGGCUGAUUGAAGCGGGACAGAUGACAUGGAUCCAUCCUUCCACAGCCAGGAGCGCACCGACCUGUGUCCCACACUUCAUAUAAGACUGGAAGCUACACUGAUCUCACAGCUACACACCACAGACGUCUACACACUGGAGAAGAGUCCCACAAAGAAGUCAUGACCCAGAGGCUGCAGAGAAACAUUUCAAGCCUCAUCUGAGUUUUUGUACAAUAUUUUUGCUGUAUGUAAAUAAAGCUUUCACUCCA
Molecule: long non-coding RNA, 919 nt
Organism: Limanda limanda (common dab)
Lineage: Eukaryota; Metazoa; Chordata; Actinopteri; Pleuronectiformes; Pleuronectidae
Exons: 4
Source: RefSeq, a predicted model, not a curated record